RNAcentral lists this ribosomal RNA (253 nucleotides) under uncultured bacterium. Its description in RNAcentral is "partial 16S ribosomal RNA". It matches the Rfam family "Bacterial small subunit ribosomal RNA", at positions 524 to 776 of the family's 1533-position model. The record is from RNAcentral.
UACGAAGGGGGCUAGCGUUGCUCGGAAUCACUGGGCGUAAAGGGUGUGUAGGCGGGCGUUUAAGUCAGUGGUGAAAUCUCCGAGCUUAACUUGGAAACUGCCAUUGAUACUAUUCGUCUUGAAUUCUGUUGAGGUGGGCGGAAUAUGUCAUGUAGCGGUGAAAUGCUUAGAUAUGACAUAGAACACCUAUUGCGAAGGCAGCUUACUACGCAUAUAUUGACGCUGAGGCACGAAAGCGUGGGGAUCAAACAGG